RNAcentral lists this ribosomal RNA (766 nucleotides) under Micromonospora narathiwatensis. Its description in RNAcentral is "bacterial SSU rRNA". It matches the Rfam family "Bacterial small subunit ribosomal RNA", at positions 32 to 816 of the family's 1533-position model. The record is from RNAcentral. Lineage: Bacteria; Bacillati; Actinomycetota; Actinomycetes; Micromonosporales; Micromonosporaceae.
AACGCUGGCGGCGUGCUUAACACAUGCAAGUCGAGCGGAAAGGCCCUUCGGGGUACUCGAGCGGCGAACGGGUGAGUAACACGUGAGCAACCUGCCCUAGGCUUUGGGAUAACCCCGGGAAACCGGGGCUAAUACCGAAUAGGACCUGGCACCGCAUGGUGUUGGGUGGAAAGUUUUUCGGCCUGGGAUGGGCUCGCGGCCUAUCAGCUUGUUGGUGGGGUGAUGGCCUACCAAGGCGACGACGGGUAGCCGGCCUGAGAGGGCGACCGGCCACACUGGGACUGAGACACGGCCCAGACUCCUACGGGAGGCAGCAGUGGGGAAUAUUGCACAAUGGGCGGAAGCCUGAUGCAGCGACGCCGCGUGAGGGAUGACGGCCUUCGGGUUGUAAACCUCUUUCAGCAGGGACGAAGCGUAAGUGACGGUACCUGCAGAAGAAGCGCCGGCCAACUACGUGCCAGCAGCCGCGGUAAGACGUAGGGCGCGAGCGUUGUCCGGAUUUAUUGGGCGUAAAGAGCUCGUAGGCGGCUUGUCGCGUCGACUGUGAAAACCCACGGCUCAACCGUGGGCCUGCAGUCGAUACGGGCAGGCUAGAGUUCGGUAGGGGAGACUGGAAUUCCUGGUGUAGCGGUGAAAUGCGCAGAUAUCAGGAGGAACACCGGUGGCGAAGGCGGGUCUCUGGGCCGAUACUGACGCUGAGGAGCGAAAGCGUGGGGAGCGAACAGGAUUAGAUACCCUGGUAGUCCACGCUGUAAACGUUGGGCGC